Small nucleolar RNA from Cucurbita moschata (crookneck pumpkin), 139 nucleotides. RefSeq annotates it as small nucleolar RNA Z247. Lineage: Eukaryota; Viridiplantae; Streptophyta; Magnoliopsida; Cucurbitales; Cucurbitaceae. The record is from RefSeq and is a predicted model, not a curated record. The transcript has a single exon.
GCCUUGUAGGAUGAUGAUGUGAUCGCAUAUCUUCUCGCUGAUUUUGGCCCUAACUAUGAUCCCUUCGUCACCUCGAUGACUACCAAGAGUGAAGCCCUCACACUCGAUGAUGUGUUUGUAAUCUAAUAGUGUUUGAAGC